This 479-nucleotide long non-coding RNA is filed under the name Hordeum vulgare. RNAcentral describes it as "long non-coding RNA (HVUL_LNC009383)". Lineage: Eukaryota; Viridiplantae; Streptophyta; Magnoliopsida; Poales; Poaceae. The record is from RNAcentral.
UGGUGGCAGAAGCGGUGAAAUAAUACAGCGGCAGACUCCAGGAUCACAAGACUGACUGGGACUCCUCUAAACAUCGAACUCGCUAUUGAACUCUUCAUCGAUGAGGUCUCCUUCAUCCAUAUUUGGCCACAUCAACAAGCCAGUGAGCCCUACGAAAAGUUCUCGCAAACUUUUUGCACAGAAGAUGCGAUGCAUGCAGUCAAUUAUUAAUAUGCAUGGUUCACAUCAUAAUUUAUCAAAAGGAUGCGUUAGAAGUAAAUUAAGUUAGAGGAUAAAUUAUUAAUAUGCAUUGAUCGGCUGUCUGGAGAGACGCCUCGAAAGGUUAACAAGGGUUAGUUACCACCGUCGGGCAUCUCAGUGACACCUCAUAUAGGGCAUAAAUAAAUAGCAAGCCACAAACGGGAAUCUUAGCGACACCACAUAAAGGACAUAAAGAUAAAUAAGAAGCCAUAGUCGGGCGUCUUAGUGACACCACAGAA